GAUGAACGCUGGCGGCGUGCCUAAUACAUGCAAGUCGAGCGAACAGACGAGGAGCUUGCUCCUUUGACGUUAGCGGCGGACGGGUGAGUAACACGUGGAUAACCUACCUAUAAGACUGGGAUAACUUCGGGAAACCGGAGCUAAUACCGGAUAACAUGUUGAACCGCAUGGUUCAACAGUGAAAGACGGUCUUGCUGUCACUUAUAGAUGGAUCCGCGCCGCAUUAGCUAGUUGGUAAGGUAACGGCUUACCAAGGCAACGAUGCGUAGCCGACCUGAGAGGGUGAUCGGCCACACUGGAACUGAGACACGGUCCAGACUCCUACGGGAGGCAGCAGUAGGGAAUCUUCCGCAAUGGGCGAAAGCCUGACGGAGCAACGCCGCGUGAGUGAAGAAGGUCUUCGGAUCGUAAAACUCUGUUAUUAGGGAAGAACAAAUGUGUAAGUAACUAUGCACGUCUUGACGGUACCUAAACAGAAAGCCACGGCUAACUACGUG
Molecule: ribosomal RNA, 497 nt
Filed under: uncultured bacterium
Lineage: Bacteria
Description: partial 16S ribosomal RNA
Rfam family: Bacterial small subunit ribosomal RNA
Source: RNAcentral